GAUGAACGCUGGCGGCGUGCCUAAUACAUGCAAGUCGAGCGAACAGAUGAGGAGCUUGCUCCUCUGACGUUAGCGGCGGACGGGUGAGUAACACGUGGAUAACCUACCUAUAAGACUGGGAUAACUUCGGGAAACCGGAGCUAAUACCGGAUAAUAUAUUGAACCGCAUGGUUCAAUAGUGAAAGACGGUUUUGCUGUCACUUAUAGAUGGAUCCGCGCCGCAUUAGCUAGUUGGUAAGGUAACGGCUUACCAAGGCAACGAUGCGUAGCCGACCUGAGAGGGUGAUCGGCCACACUGGCACUGAGACACGGUCCAGACUCCUACGGGAGGCAGCAGUAGGGAAUCUUCCGCAAUGGGCGAAAGCCUGACGGAGCACCGCCGCGUGAGUGAUGAAGGUCUUCGGAUCGUAAAACUCUGUUAUUAGGGAAGAACAAAUGUGUAAGUAACUAUGCACGUCUUGACGGUACCUACUUAGAAAGCCACGGCUAACUACGUG
Molecule: ribosomal RNA, 497 nt
Filed under: uncultured bacterium
Lineage: Bacteria
Description: partial 16S ribosomal RNA
Rfam family: Bacterial small subunit ribosomal RNA
Source: RNAcentral